UUCGGCGAAACACGGUAGAGGCCAGGCAUCCUCUCUAUGAGAAGCCUUCAAGUAAGGGGGCUCACUUGGGCUAUCCAAGCCUCACACUG
RNAcentral lists this small nucleolar RNA (89 nucleotides) under Otolemur garnettii (small-eared galago). RNAcentral describes it as "Small Cajal body specific RNA 21 (ENSOGAG00000024028.1)". The record is from RNAcentral. Lineage: Eukaryota; Metazoa; Chordata; Mammalia; Primates; Galagidae.